Molecule: ribosomal RNA, 237 nt
Filed under: Cytobacillus firmus
Lineage: Bacteria; Bacillati; Bacillota; Bacilli; Caryophanales; Bacillaceae
Description: partial 23S ribosomal RNA
Rfam family: Bacterial large subunit ribosomal RNA
Source: RNAcentral
AGGUUAAGUUAGAAAGGGCGCACGGUGAAUGCCUUGGCACUAGGAGCCGAUGAAGGACGGUACUAACACCGAUAUGCUUCGGGGAGCUGUAAGUAAGCUUUGAUCCGGAGAUUUCCGAAUGGGGAAACCCCCUAUCCGUAAUGGGAUAGGAUCUUUACCUGAAUACAUAGGGUAUGGAAGGCAGACCCGGGGAACUGAAACAUCUAAGUACCCGGAGGAAGAGAAAGCAAACGCGAU